AGGAUGAACGCUGGCGGCGUGCCUAACACAUGCAAGUCGAACGUCCUGUCUCGCAAGAGGCAGGGAGUGGCGGACGGGUGAGUACCACGUGGGUCAUCUACCGUGAGGUGAGGAAUACCGGCGAGAAAUCGCCGACAAGACCGCAUAGGCUCGAUGCAAGUCGAGCAAAGCUCUUUCGAGAGAGGGAGCGCCACACGAGGAGCCUGCGCCCGAUUAGCUAGCUGGUGGAGUAACGGCUCACCAAGGCUUCGACGGGUAGCCGGCCUGAGAGGGCGACCGGCCACACUGGGACUGAGAUACGGCCCAGACUCCUACGGGAGGCAGCAGUGGGGAAUAUUGCACAAUGGGCGCAAGCCUGAUGCAGCAACGCCGCGUGCGGGAUGACGGCCUUCGGGUUGUAAACCGCUUUCAGUAGGGACGAAGCUAACGUGACGGUACCUACAGAAGAAGGACCGGCUAACUACGUGCCAGCAGCCG
This 477-nucleotide ribosomal RNA is filed under the name uncultured bacterium. Its description in RNAcentral is "SSU rRNA". It matches the Rfam family "Bacterial small subunit ribosomal RNA", at positions 26 to 517 of the family's 1533-position model. The record is from RNAcentral.